Molecule: ribosomal RNA, 459 nt
Filed under: uncultured bacterium
Lineage: Bacteria
Description: SSU rRNA
Rfam family: Bacterial small subunit ribosomal RNA
Source: RNAcentral
AGAAUCAACGCUGGCGGCGUGCCUAACACAUGCAAGUCGCACGAGAAAGGGUAGCAAUACCUGAGUAAAGUGGCGCACGGGUGAGUAACACGUGAAUAAUCUACCUCCGAGUGGGGAAUAACUGAGAGAAAUCUUAGCUAAUACCGCAUAACACUUACGAGUCAAAGCAGUAAUGCGCUUGGAGAGGAGUUCGCGGCAGAUUAGCUAGUUGGCGGGGUAAUGGCCCACCAAGGCGAUGAUCUGUAUCCGGCCUGAGAGGGCGCACGGACACACUGGAACUGAAACACGGUCCAGACUCCUACGGGAGGCAGCAGUGGGGAAUUUUGCGCAAUGGGGGAAACCCUGACGCAGCAACGCCGCGUGGAGGAUGAAAUCCCUUGGGAUGUAAACUCCUUUCGAUAGGGAAGAUAAUGACGGUACCUAUAGAAGAAGCCCGGCUAACUUCGUGCCAGCAGCCGC